AAGAAUCUCGCCCUCGAGAUUCAGGGCUGGCUAGCAAAGAGCUCCGGGUAUUUGAAAUUUACCAAUUGAAAAUUAUUAGUUUUCUAAAACUAGGUGGUGGGAUUUUGAAAAUACUACUUUCACCCCCUUUUGAACACAACAAGAUACCAAUUUGAAAUUUACCAAUUGAAAAUUAUUAGUUUUCUAAAACUAGGUGGUGGGAUUUUGAAAAUACUACUUUCACCCCCUUUUGAACACAACAAGAUACCAAUUUGAAAUUUACCAAUUGAAAAUUAUUAGUUUUCUAAAACUAGGUGGUGGGCGGUGCGGUCCUUUUGCUUUGGGCUAAUACUUUCUCCUCCUUUGGCAUGAAUCGCCAAAAACGGAUACUUUGAGUGAAAUACAAGCCCUUAAAUAACUACUUUCUCCCCUUUGGCAAAUAAAACAUGAGUGAAGAUUAUACCAAAUACGGAGAGACGGCGGGAUACCGGCAAAGAGUGGAUAAUACCAAUGGAGUUGAGUGGAAGCGAUGUCUUUGCCGAAUACUCCAUUUCCCUUUCAAUCUAAGACUUAAUACAUGAGAUGCUCAUGAAAACAUAUUAGUCUUAGCCUUGGCACACAAUGAAGAUAAGAAAUAUGCAAAUGUACCAAAGGAAAGAGACAUGAUUAAAAAGGAUAUAUCAAUUAAGCUUAAACAAUUAUAUACAAUAUAGAUUGCUCCCCCUAAAUAUGUGCAUAGAGAGGAAAACAAAUUUUUGGUCUAAAAUGCCAAGUGCACAUAAUUAGGUUAAUGAGACCAUGUCUAUAUCAUAAAGAGUGUAAAGUGCAUUGUGUCAUAGUAUAAGUGUGAUGCUAAUGACAUUUUAUGCACUUAUGAAAGCAUGUUAUAAAUAUCUCAAGCAUUUAUCCUUAAGGAUUUCAAGGAGACUUAAGGACCAUCCACCUUUUGGAACAAAAGGCAGCUUAUCCUCGUUACAAGGUUAAGCUUUAAGCUCCUUGACAAUAAAAUUACUUCACCCAGUUUAAACAAAGAUGUAAAAAUGAAUGUUUGAGAAGUUAAACUAGGUAUGAAGCAGGGUUAAUGCAUGAACAUGCUUUUUCUUCCUUUUAUACAAGAUAUGCAAGGAAUGUAGG
RNAcentral lists this long non-coding RNA (1113 nucleotides) under Zea mays. Its description in RNAcentral is "long non-coding RNA (ZMAY_LNC003596)". Lineage: Eukaryota; Viridiplantae; Streptophyta; Magnoliopsida; Poales; Poaceae. The record is from RNAcentral.